GUGAAUCAUCGAAUUUUUGAACGCAAAUUGCGCCUUUUUCGGAAGGCAUGUCUGUUUGAGGGCACCAUUUAACAAAUAAUGUGCACCGUUUUGUGUGUGCACACGUUGAUGAGCUUUCCAGGAAAAAUUUUUUUUUUUUUUUUGGUGGCGCAUAAUGAACAGCGCGAAAGCUUUUUUUUUAGUUCGGGUGUAGUAAAAUCUUUUCUUGGGUUUUUAAAAAACAUUAUCGCGCAAUGGGUGGGGCAAUUUUUUUUUUUCCCUGCCCCAAUGCCCCCCUUUCCCACGA
RNAcentral lists this unclassified non-coding RNA (286 nucleotides) under Paraglomerales sp. RNAcentral's name for it is "partial contains 5.8S ribosomal RNA and internal transcribed spacer 2". The stretch from base 1 to 65 matches the Rfam family "5.8S ribosomal RNA", at positions 84 to 154 of the family's 154-position model. The record is from RNAcentral. Lineage: Eukaryota; Fungi; Glomeromycota; Glomeromycetes; Paraglomerales.